GACGAACGCUGGCGGCGUGCUUAACACAUGCAAGUCGAACGGAAAGGCCCUGCUUUUGUGGGGUGCUCGAGUGGCGAACGGGUGAGUAACACGUGAGUAACCUGCCCUUGACUUUGGGAUAACUUCAGGAAACUGGGGCUAAUACCGGAUAGGAGCUCCUGCUGCAUGGUGGGGGUUGGAAAGUUUCGGCGGUUGGGGAUGGACUCGCGGCUUAUCAGCUUGUUGGUGGGGUAGUGGCUUACCAAGGCUUUGACGGGUAGCCGGCCUGAGAGGGUGACCGGACACAGGGGGAGAGAGACACGGCACAGACCCACGCGGGAGGGAGGAGUGGAAAAUAUCGCACAGGGCGGGGGAGUCAGAUGGAGAAGCGCCGCGCGGGAGAAGAGCGCUCUCGGGGUGUAACGCGUUUGCGCGUGAGAAGAAGCGUGAGAGACGGUAAGGUGUAAAGAAGCACCGGCUAAACACG
This 466-nucleotide ribosomal RNA is filed under the name uncultured bacterium. Its description in RNAcentral is "partial 16S ribosomal RNA". It matches the Rfam family "Bacterial small subunit ribosomal RNA", at positions 28 to 505 of the family's 1533-position model. The record is from RNAcentral.